RNAcentral lists this transfer RNA (73 nucleotides) under Fasciola gigantica. It matches the Rfam family "tRNA". From Rfam's summary of the family: Transfer RNA (tRNA) molecules are approximately 80 nucleotides in length. The record is from Rfam by way of RNAcentral. Lineage: Eukaryota; Metazoa; Platyhelminthes; Trematoda; Plagiorchiida; Fasciolidae.
ACCGCGAUAGCUCAGCUGGUAGAUCACCUGCCUGGUGUGUUGAGGGUCGCCGGUUCGAUACCGGCUCGCGGUG